RNAcentral lists this long non-coding RNA (341 nucleotides) under Pan paniscus (pygmy chimpanzee). Its description in RNAcentral is "lncRNA (ENSPPAG00000044168.1)". Lineage: Eukaryota; Metazoa; Chordata; Mammalia; Primates; Hominidae. The record is from RNAcentral.
GUGCUGAUUUUAGCUUCCAUCAAUGCUGCGUGGCGAUCACUGUCAUCCUCAUACACUGCAGAUGGUGAUGCCACCCCAUCAAGACCGGGAUUACGUGAUCCUCGGCCACUGCCGUGACCUACGUGCUGGGUACACAGGAGGCUCAGUAAAUAGUUGCCAAUUAAAUAACUGUAUGCACUACAAGGAAAGAGAUAGUCUGCAAUUCCAAACAGUGCUGCAGACUUCUCCAAGCCCGGAGUCAGUGAACCAUAAUGAUAGAUGAUUAAAUAAGUAAACAUGGGAACACUGGCUAUAGAUUUUAGACCAAUACCUCCGUCCCUGCAGAAGCAGAUUGAGAGGAU